RNAcentral lists this ribosomal RNA (490 nucleotides) under uncultured bacterium. RNAcentral describes it as "partial 16S ribosomal RNA". It matches the Rfam family "Bacterial small subunit ribosomal RNA", at positions 29 to 505 of the family's 1533-position model. The record is from RNAcentral.
AGUGAACGCUGGCGGUAGGCCUAACACAUGCAAGUCGAACGGCAGCACAGUAAGAGCUUGCUCUUACGGGUGGCGAGUGGCGGACGGGUGAGGAAUACAUCGGAAUCUACUUUUUCGUGGGGGAUAACGUAGGGAAACUUACGCUAAUACCGCAUACGACCUACGGGUGAAAGCAGGGGAUCUUCGGACCUUGCGCGAUUGAAUGAGCCGAUGUCGGAUUAGCUAGUUGGCGGGGUAAAGGCCCACCAAGGCGACGAUCCGUAGCUGGUCUGAGAGGAUGAGCAGCCACACUGGAACUGAGACACGGUCCAGACUCCAACGGGAGGCAGAAGUGGGGAAUAUUGGACAAUGGGCGCAAGCCUGAUCCAGCCAUACCGCGUGGGUGAAGAAGGCCUUCGGGUUGUAAAGCCCUUUUGUUGGGAAAGAAAAGCAGCAGGUUAAUACCCCGCUGUUCUGACGGUACCCAAAGAAUAAGCACCGGCUAACUUCG